AACGCACAUUGCGCCUUCCGGUAUUCCGGGAGGCACGUCUGUUUGAGCGUCAGCUAUACCCCUCCGGCCCCCCCGGUUACAAAACCGGGGGAUCCCGGGCUUGCUGGCGCAGGGGACGCUGGCCGCCGCGUUUCGGCGCGGGUCGGGCCUUCCCCCGCUUAAAACCGUGGAAGAUAGCGGGCACAGGCCCCGGAUAGCGAGCGACUCGUAGGACCUUACCGUCGUCUCUGCGCCUUCCGGCCUGCCCCGCCUCCACCGACUGAGGGUUGGCUCCGGCCGCCUUCUUGAACUCUUGACCUCAAAUCAGACGAGGAUACCCGCUGAACUUAA
Molecule: unclassified non-coding RNA, 330 nt
Filed under: uncultured Ascomycota
Lineage: Eukaryota; Fungi; Ascomycota
Description: sequence contains 5.8S rRNA gene, ITS2, 28S rRNA gene
Rfam family: 5.8S ribosomal RNA (bases 1-52)
Source: RNAcentral